RNAcentral lists this ribosomal RNA (497 nucleotides) under uncultured bacterium. Its description in RNAcentral is "partial 16S ribosomal RNA". It matches the Rfam family "Bacterial small subunit ribosomal RNA", at positions 28 to 507 of the family's 1533-position model. The record is from RNAcentral.
GAUGAACGCUGGCGGCGUGCCUAAUACAUGCAAGUCGAGCGAACGGACGAGAAGCUUGCUUCUCUGAUGUUAGCGGCGGACGGGUGAGUAACACGUGGAUAACCUACCUAUAAGACUGGGAUAACUUCGGGAAACCGGAGCUAAUACCGGAUGAUAUUUUGCACCGCAUGGUUCAAAAGUGAAAGACGGUCUUGCUGUCACUUAUAGAUGGAUCCGCGCUGCAUUAGCUAGUUGGUAAGGUAACGGCUUACCAAGGCAACGAUGCAUAGCCGACCUGAGAGGGUGAUCGGCCACACUGGAACUGAGACACGGUCCAGACUCCUACGGGAGGCAGCAGUAGGGAAUCGUCCGCAAUGGGCGAAAGCCUGACGGAGCAACGCCGCGUGAGUGAUGAAGGUCUUCGGAUCGUAAAACUCUGUUAUUAGGGAAGAACAUAUGUGUAAGUAACUGUGCACAUCUUGACGGUACCUAAUCAGAAAGCCACGGCUAACUACGUG